GGGGAACCAGGACUUUUACUUUGAAAAAAUUAGAGUGCUCCAGGCAGGCCUAUGCUCGAAUACAUUAGCAUGGAAUAAUAGAAUAGGACGUGUGGUUCUAUUUUGUUGGUUUCUAGGACCGCCGUAAUGAUUAAUAGGGACAGUYGGGGGCAUCAGUAUUCAAUUGUCAGAGGUGAAAUUCUUGGAUCUAUUGAAGACUGACUACUGCGAAAGCAUUUGCCAAGGAUGUUUUCAUUGAUAAGGAACGAAAGUUAGGGGAUCGAAGACGAUCAGAUACCGUCGUAGUCUUAACUAUAAACUAUGCCGACUAGGGAUCGGACGAUGUUAUUUCUUGACGCGUUCGGCACCUUUCGAGAAAUCAAAGUGCUUGGGCUCCAGGGGGAGUAUGGUCGCAAGGCUGAAACUUAAAGAAAUUGACGGAAGGGCACCACCAGGGGUGGAACCUGCGGCUUAAUUUGACCCAACACGGGGAAACUCACCAGGUCCAGACACAGUGAGGAUUGACAGAUUGAGAGCUCUUUCUUGAUUCUGUGGGUGGUGGUGCAUGGCCGUUCUUAGUUGGUGGAGUGAUUUGCCUGCUUAAUUGCGAUAACGAACGAGACCU
This 604-nucleotide ribosomal RNA is filed under the name uncultured fungus. RNAcentral's name for it is "SSU rRNA". It matches the Rfam family "Eukaryotic small subunit ribosomal RNA", at positions 748 to 1354 of the family's 1831-position model. Lineage: Eukaryota; Fungi. The record is from RNAcentral.